Molecule: long non-coding RNA, 901 nt
Filed under: Olea europaea subsp. europaea
Lineage: Eukaryota; Viridiplantae; Streptophyta; Magnoliopsida; Lamiales; Oleaceae
Source: RNAcentral
AGCACUUAAUAGCACAUAGAUGCAUUUAUCAUGGUGAUCCUCUACCUUUAGAAAAUUAAUUUCUUCAAUAUUCAAAUUUGAUUUGUGAGAUUUUGACCAAGUGACUACAUGAUCUUGAGUUUUUUAUAGCGCUCAACAAAAAGGAUAAAACCAUUUUCUGAUGCUGUUCUUGUGAAGGUUCUGAGCUAGUAAACUGGUAGUUUUAGUGGAAAUAGGAAAUCAAUUAAUAGAAUAUAAUCAGCACGUAUUUUCUUUUUGAUACAUUGGUUACAUGAAACAUUCUUUAUAAAAUUAUGACGUUUUCAUCAUCUCUUAUGAUGAUCUUGCAUUGUUAUCUCCAUCGUAGGAUGUAAGUAGAGUGCUUUUCAUAUAUAACCAUUGAAAGAGGAUCCUACAUUGAGCAUUCUAAUUUUGAAUUGUUUCGGGUGCAGAUAAGAACCAGGAGAAACAAAAGCAGAACCUAUGUUCAUGCAGCAUCCUUUGAUUGUACCUUUCUGUAUGAUGUUAAACAUUUGAGACGGCCCAUCUUCGAAAAAAAGAAUAAAAAAAAUCUGAUUGGUAUCUAUAGUUUAGAAGGUUGAAUUCUUGUAAAUGCUUCUGUUUUCGUUGGGAUUGUGAUCGUUUUCUGACAUUGGGAAUUGAGAUGUCCAUGGUUGAUCCGUUAGGCACUGUCUAUUAUAUACGUGUUAGACAUUAUUGCUUACUUUACCAAGUUGCCUAGCUGAUCAAAACUUGACCAAUGAAUAAUGGAGUUGCUUGAAGAUGUUUUAUUGUGUUUGGAAAUUGGUAGAAUAUAGAUCUGUAUUUAUUGGGUACGGACUUAAAAUUCUCAUAUUUGAAAUCAUACGAAGACAAGUAGUUAUCUAUCAACUUCGUUGGUGGUGUUACUUGAAAGGUAGAG